This 700-nucleotide ribosomal RNA is filed under the name Promicromonospora sp. RNAcentral's name for it is "bacterial SSU rRNA". It matches the Rfam family "Bacterial small subunit ribosomal RNA", at positions 55 to 770 of the family's 1533-position model. The record is from RNAcentral. Lineage: Bacteria; Bacillati; Actinomycetota; Actinomycetes; Micrococcales; Promicromonosporaceae.
AUGCAGUCGAACGGUGAAGCUCAGCUUGCUGGGUGGAUCAGUGGCGAACGGGUGAGUAACACGUGAGCAACCUGCCCUCCACUUCGGGAUAAGCCUUGGAAACGAGGUCUAAUACCGGAUACGAGCACUUACCGCAUGGUGGGUGUUGGAAAGUUUUUCGGUGGGGGAUGGGCUCGCGGCCUAUCAGCUUGUUGGUGGGGUAAUGGCCUACCAAGGCGUCGACGGGUAGCCGGCCUGAGAGGGCGACCGGCCACACUGGGACUGAGACACGGCCCAGACUCCUACGGGAGGCAGCAGUGGGGAAUAUUGCACAAUGGGCGAAAGCCUGAUGCAGCGACGCCACGUGAGGGAUGACGGCCUUCGGGUUGUAAACCUCUUUCAGCAGGGAAGAAGCGCAAGUGACGGUACCUGCAGAAGAAGCGCCGGCUAACUACGUGCCAGCAGCCGCGGUAAUACGUAGGGCGCAAGCGUUGUCCGGAAUUAUUGGGCGUAAAGAGCUCGUAGGCGGUCUGUCGCGUCUGGUGUGAAAUCCCAUGGCUCAACCAUGGGCUUGCAUCGGGUACGGGCAGACUAGAGUGCUGUAGGGGAGACUGGAAUUCCUGGUGUAGCGGUGGAAUGCGCAGAUAUCAGGAGGAACACCGAUGGCGAAGGCAGGUCUCUGGGCAGUUACUGACGCUGAGGAGCGAAAGCAUGGGGAGCG